RNAcentral lists this non-coding RNA (116 nucleotides) under Nomascus leucogenys (northern white-cheeked gibbon). The record is from Rfam by way of RNAcentral. Lineage: Eukaryota; Metazoa; Chordata; Mammalia; Primates; Hylobatidae.
GCCAGGCAUGGUGGCUCAUGCCUGUAAUCCCAGCACUUUGGAGGCCAAGACGGGUGGAUCACUUGAGGUCAGGAGUUCAAGACCAGCCUGACCAACAUAGUGAAACCCUGUCUCUA